GCUGUCGGUGCUUCCCGGAGGGGAAGAUAAUAGGGAAACAGGUGCAAGACCUGUGCAGUCACGCUGCCGUAAGGGACAGCUUUUCUCCACGCGUAAUGCAUGCCACUGCUAAAGCGGGAAGGCGGAGAAAAGCGCUGAAUCCGAGCCGGAAGACCUGCCGACAU
RNAcentral lists this non-coding RNA (164 nucleotides) under human gut metagenome. The record is from RNAcentral.